UUAAUUGAAACCAAAACUGAGGUAUAUCACUGUUAAUGAUAUCAAUGAAUUACUUUCCAAUUAAA
Molecule: transfer RNA, 65 nt
Filed under: Hemisodorcus derelictus
Lineage: Eukaryota; Metazoa; Arthropoda; Insecta; Coleoptera; Lucanidae
Description: tRNA-Asn
Source: RNAcentral